RNAcentral lists this transfer RNA (84 nucleotides) under Elusimicrobiota bacterium. RNAcentral's name for it is "Elusimicrobia bacterium (groundwater metagenome) tRNA-Leu". It matches the Rfam family "tRNA". From Rfam's summary of the family: Transfer RNA (tRNA) molecules are approximately 80 nucleotides in length. The record is from RNAcentral. Lineage: Bacteria; Pseudomonadati; Elusimicrobiota.
GGGCAGGUGGCGGAACUGGCAGACGCAGCGGACUUAAAAUCCGCUGCCCGCAAGGGCGUGUGGGUUCAAAUCCCUCCCUGCCCA